GCGGGCGUGUUGGAAUUGGUAGACAACCCAGACUUAGGAUCUGGUGCCUUCACGGCGUAUGGGUUCGAGUCCCUUCGCCCGCA
Molecule: transfer RNA, 83 nt
Filed under: Bacteroidales bacterium
Lineage: Bacteria; Pseudomonadati; Bacteroidota; Bacteroidia; Bacteroidales
Description: tRNA-Leu
Rfam family: tRNA
About the family: Transfer RNA (tRNA) molecules are approximately 80 nucleotides in length.
Source: RNAcentral